Molecule: ribosomal RNA, 253 nt
Filed under: uncultured bacterium
Lineage: Bacteria
Description: partial 16S ribosomal RNA
Rfam family: Bacterial small subunit ribosomal RNA
Source: RNAcentral
GACAGAGGGUGCAAACGUUGUUCGGAAUUACUGGGCGUAAAGCGUGUGUAGGCGGCUACGUAAGUCGGAUGUGAAAGCCCCAGGCUCAACCUGGGAAGUGCACUCGAUACUGCGUGGCUUGAGUAUCGGAGAGGUUGGUGGAAUUCUCGGUGUAGAGGUGAAAUUCGUAGAUAUCGAGAGGAACACCGGUGGCGAAGGCGGCCAACUGGACGAAUACUGACGCUGAGACACGAAAGCGUGGGGAGCAAACAGG